This is a long non-coding RNA of Daphnia magna, 534 nucleotides long. RefSeq lists it as uncharacterized. The record is from RefSeq and is a predicted model, not a curated record. The transcript is spliced from 3 exons. Lineage: Eukaryota; Metazoa; Arthropoda; Branchiopoda; Diplostraca; Daphniidae.
UUGACGUAUAGUUGUUUCUUAUUUCUUGGGGAUUUCAGUUUUGAUCUAUUAAAGACGUGCAUCAACUCUCUCAACAGUAUAUAUAGGCUCAUUAAAAUGUUGAGUUCGUUCUACGGAAUAGGUUUCGUAAUGAAAUUGAAGUGCGAUAUAUCCGAAGAGCAGUUUUCAGACAGAGAACAACAACAUUAGUAUUAUUUUGUAGGUAAUAUUAUACGCAUUGAAUUUUUGAUACUCCCCAAAUCUGCUGUGUAUAUAGACUUUUUGGGAUGAGCUGUGUAGUUCCUCAACAGAUUUAUGAAACGGGUUGUUGACUAUGAAAAUUCUUCGUCUACACCCGAUGAAAAGUAUGACGAAAUUCCACCUACACUGUAAACAAGCAGCUCUGCGGCUGCUGUUGGGCAUAGAGAGCGAAGUUUCUCGACACACUUUAAUCAAAUGUGCCGACGCGAGUUUGCCUCCUAGCUGGCAGAACAAAACCGAGGAAGAGAGGACACACAAAAAAAAAUCUGGGAAAGCUUUAGAAAAAAACAACGA